RNAcentral lists this long non-coding RNA (1151 nucleotides) under Equus asinus (donkey). Its description in RNAcentral is "lncRNA (ENSEASG00005036514.1)". Lineage: Eukaryota; Metazoa; Chordata; Mammalia; Perissodactyla; Equidae. The record is from RNAcentral.
GUUUAUCUGCAGCUCUCGAAAAGGCAGCAACAGAAGUAACUGAGAUAAACAGACUGAAAGCUGCCCACAGCCAAAGCAGCUAUGUCUCCCCGGAGACAUAGUGCCUGGCACAGAGAAGGCAUUCAGUAAAGGUCUGCUGAAUGAAUGGAUGACGAUUCUCGCGAACAGACAGGAAACUGACAGACCGGCUUCCUCUGCUCCUGCUGCUGGGAACACGCAGCUGACAGCCUCCGAGCUGACAGGACUACAGCUCCAGCCAGGGGAAUGACUGAAUCUCUCCUGGUCUUUGUUGCAAAUUCCCGGGGAGGGGCUCCUGGGCAGGGGGCUCUCUCCACCGUCCCAUCCCCUGACAGUGGUUCAAGUCAGUGAGGCAGAGGGGUUUAAGAAUUCGUGGAGACAGGAGGAGCCGCUCGGUCCUCAUCAACUUCUCCGCUGAUGGUUAGAUCAGAACGCGUCCUCCAGCUCGCUGUGCAUGGAAACCCUAAGUAUUUGCCCUGGAAAUGCUCGUGAGGAGUCCUCGACCUGCGAAAAUGCAAAAGUAUGCGACGGGUCCUGAGACUCCUCGAAGAGGUGAAGACCUGAGCGUGUGAAGAGGAAGGCUCCUGCUCCCUCAAGCACUGCGGGGUGAGAUGGACACCCCUCCUCUCGGGGAGAACUGAGGGUGCACAGUUGCUAAGAAGCGGACGACUAGACCAGACUCAGUGACGACCCUGGCUCACAUUCCAUCCUACAGAUACAUUCAUUUUUUAUACUGAGCUCUAUUUGAAGGGCCAGUCAUUCCUGUUAAUGAUUUAAAGAGCUCGUCCCGUUGACAGUAUAACCACAGCAUCAGUUGCUUCCUUCCAGGCCUGAGCACACAACGAAAAGGAUCUGAGCGGGAGAAGGUCUCCAAAGGGUUUCCCGCGACUCCGCCGCCGCCCCUGGGGAGGACGCCGGGCCCGGCCGGGACUGGCAGGGCGCCCCGGGACCGCGGGGAGCGGCGCUGCACGUGUGGGGCUCCGGCCCGCCCCCCGCAUGGCACCUUCCCACCCGCGGAAUCGAAGCUCCUCCGCCGGCGCCGGACCCCGCGGCCGGGCCGCCACACGGCGUCGCUGUCCCCGCAGGUCCCGCCGCAGCCGGCGCGCCGUCGUUCCCCGCCGGGCGGUGAGGCG